UUUCCGUAGGUGAACCUGCGGAAGGAUCAUUGUCGAAACCUGGAAGGCAAAACGACCCGCGAAUCCGUGGCAACUAACGUGGGGGGUGGGCCUCUGGGCCUGUCGCCCAAAGUCCUCGGCAAGGGUUGUGGGGAAAUCCCAACUCCUUUGUCUCGGCGCAAACAACAAAUCCCGGCGCAAACCGCGCCAAGGAAUCAGAAAAAAGAUGCGCACUCCUCGGUAUGUCCCGAAAACGGUGCCUUGGAGGUGUUGCAUCGUCGUUAUCGUAUCUGAAACGACUCUCGGCAACGGAUAUCUUGGCUCUCGCAUCGAUGAAGAACGUAGCGAAAUGCGAUACUUGGUGUGAAUUGCAGAAUCCCGUGAACCAUCGAGUUUUUGAACGCAAGUUGCGCCCGAAGCCGUCAGGUCGAGGGCACGCUUGCCUGGGUGUCACGCAGUGUCGCUAAAUAUUCCCCGUCCCCAUUUAUCGGGAACAACGAGGAUUUGGCGGAUAUUGGCCUCCCGUUAGCACUCGCACGCGGUUGGCCCAAAAGAGAGCCCCCGGGCGCGGCAGCCACGGCACGCGGUGGUUGGCAGCAUGCGCUCCACGAACACCGUCGUGGGCAAGCCUAGCAGACGGGGUGCUGUAGACCCCGACGCAGAGCGUCUUCGCAACGCGACCCCAGGUCAGGCGGGAACACCCGCUGAGUUUAAG
This 694-nucleotide ribosomal RNA is filed under the name Denhamia fournieri. RNAcentral's name for it is "eukaryotic LSU rRNA". The stretch from base 277 to 432 matches the Rfam family "5.8S ribosomal RNA". The record is from RNAcentral. Lineage: Eukaryota; Viridiplantae; Streptophyta; Magnoliopsida; Celastrales; Celastraceae.